ACACUGUUGAAGGGUCCCAAACAGGACGAAACAGCUGUCCAGUGC
This 45-nucleotide non-coding RNA is filed under the name Echinostoma caproni. The record is from RNAcentral. Lineage: Eukaryota; Metazoa; Platyhelminthes; Trematoda; Plagiorchiida; Echinostomatidae.